AACGAACGCUGGCGGCGCGCCUAACACAUGCAAGUCGAACGAGAAGGCGUAGCAAUACGCUUGUAGAGUGGCGAACGGGUGAGUAAUACGUGGGUGACCUACCCUCGAGUGGGGAAUAACCCGCCGAAAGGCGGGCUAAUGCCGCGUACGCUUCCGUCCUCACGGGGACGGAAGGAAAGCUGUACCGUGGGUACGGCGCUCAAGGAUGGGCUCACGUCCUAUCAGCUUGUUGGUAGGGUAACGGCCUACCAAGGCUACGACGGGUAGCUGGUCUGAGAGGACGAUCAGCCACACUGGCACUGCGACACGGGCCAGACUCCUACGGGAGGCAGCAGUGAGGAAUACUGCGCAAUGGGCGAAAGCCUGACGCAGCGACGCCGCGU
This 383-nucleotide ribosomal RNA is filed under the name uncultured bacterium. RNAcentral describes it as "bacterial SSU rRNA". It matches the Rfam family "Bacterial small subunit ribosomal RNA", at positions 29 to 402 of the family's 1533-position model. The record is from RNAcentral.